GGCUGACCUGCAUAGUACUCAUUGCUUCUUCAUAUUCUUCAGUGGGCAGGAUCUGGCUGCGCUGUAAUCCCUUCAUCUGUGCCAGGUGGAUGAUGAGCCGACACUCCUCGUCACUCAGGAAGCCAGGAAUUUCUGCCAUAAGAGGAGGGUCAUCUACCAGUGCUGCAGCCUGUGUGAGGUAAUGCAAGCCAGCUGCUCACCCAUCAUGGCCUGCUAUGGCUACUCCUGGCCAGCCAUCUUGAACUGUGGACGAUUCCCCGUGCGCCAUGGUCUCUGCAUCUCAGCUAUGUCCAAUGGCUCCCGCCUAAACUACCCAUAUGGAUUCUAUAUUGCCCAGGCUGACCCUAAAUUCCUGUUGUACUCAUCAUGCUCCUGCCUCAGUCUCCCAAGCAACUUAAACUACAGGUGUGUGCCACACUUGGAUUCUCAUUUUAAACAGUUAUAUAAUGUGGAC
Sciurus carolinensis (gray squirrel) is the source of this 454-nucleotide long non-coding RNA. RefSeq lists it as uncharacterized. Lineage: Eukaryota; Metazoa; Chordata; Mammalia; Rodentia; Sciuridae. The transcript is spliced from 3 exons. The record is from RefSeq and is a predicted model, not a curated record.